RNAcentral lists this ribosomal RNA (376 nucleotides) under uncultured bacterium. Its description in RNAcentral is "bacterial SSU rRNA". It matches the Rfam family "Bacterial small subunit ribosomal RNA", at positions 521 to 896 of the family's 1533-position model. The record is from RNAcentral.
UAAAACGUAGGGGGCGAGCGUUGCCCGGAUUCACUGGGCGUAAAGCGGGUGUAGGCGGUCCAUUAAGUCGGAUGUGAAAUCUCACGGCCCAACCGUGGAAUUGCAUCCGAUACUGGUGGACUUGAGGACGGUAGAGGCCGGUGGAAUUCCCGGUGUACCGGUGAAAUGGGCAGAUAUCGGGAGGAACACCAGUGGCGAAGGCGGCCGGCUGGGCCGAUCCUGACGCUGAGACCCGAAAGCCAGGGGAGCAAACCGGAUUAGAUACCCGGGUAGUCCUGGCUGUAAACGGUGCGAACUAGGUGUGGGGGCUGUCAUGGCCUCCGUGCCGAAGCUAACGCAUUAAGUUCGCCGCCUGGGGAGUACGGCCGCAAGGCUA